GUGAAAUUUUCUUAGAGAACAGCAAAUUUACAAAUAUAAACAACAAUCUUUCCUACUGACAUCAAUCAUAUCAACAGAAAGAAGAAAUACAUGGCAUCUCCAGUUCUCCACACACAAAGACAGAACAGCUGCUCAAACUACCUGACCAAACAGGAAAUGUUAAAACCAGAAUUUGUUGAAUUCCCACUAUCCAACCCAUAUUAAA
Molecule: unclassified non-coding RNA, 205 nt
Filed under: Hevea brasiliensis (rubber tree)
Lineage: Eukaryota; Viridiplantae; Streptophyta; Magnoliopsida; Malpighiales; Euphorbiaceae
Source: RNAcentral